This 274-nucleotide ribosomal RNA is filed under the name uncultured bacterium. Its description in RNAcentral is "partial 16S ribosomal RNA". It matches the Rfam family "Bacterial small subunit ribosomal RNA", at positions 523 to 796 of the family's 1533-position model. The record is from RNAcentral.
AUACGGAGGGUGCAAGCGUUACUCGGAAUCACUGGGCGUAAAGCGCGCGCAGGCGGCUAUUUAAGUUGGAUGUGAAAGCCUACGGCUCAACCGUAGAACUGCAUCCAAAACUAUUUAGCUAGAGUGUGGGAGAGGAAGAUGGAAUUAGUUGUGUAGGGGUAAAAUCCGUAGAGAUAACUAGGAAUACCAAAAGCGAAGGCAAUCUUCUGGAACACUACUGACGCUGAGGCGCGAAAGCGUGGGUAGCAAACGGGAUUAGAUACCCUAGUAGUCC